UUUGUGAACUUAUACCUUACUGUUGCCUCGGCGCAGGCCGGCCUCUUAGCUGAGGCCCCCCGGAGACGGGGAGCAGCCCGCCGGCGGCCAACCAAACUCUUGUUUCUACAGUGAAUCUCUGAGUAAAAAACAUAAAUGAAUCAAAACUUUCAACAACGGAUCUCUUGGUUCUGGCAUCGAUGAAGAACGCAGCGAAAUGCGAUAAGUAAUGUGAAUUGCAGAAUUCAGUGAAUCAUCGAAUCUUUGAACGCACAUUGCGCCCUCUGGUAUUCCGGAGGGCAUGCCUGUUCGAGCGUCAUUUCAACCCUCAAGCCUGGCUUGGUGUUGGGGCACUGCUUCGAGAGAAGCAGGCCCUGAAAUCUAGUGGCGAGCUCGCUAGGACCCCGAGCGUAGUAGUUAUAUCUCGUUCUGGAAGGCCCUGGCGGUGCCCUGCCGUUAAACCCCCAACUUCUGAAAUUUUGACCUCGGAUCAGGUAGGAAUACCCGCUGAACUUAAGCAUAUCAA
RNAcentral lists this ribosomal RNA (505 nucleotides) under Phomopsis sp. 12142. RNAcentral describes it as "eukaryotic LSU rRNA". The stretch from base 145 to 298 matches the Rfam family "5.8S ribosomal RNA". Lineage: Eukaryota; Fungi; Ascomycota; Sordariomycetes; Diaporthales; Diaporthaceae. The record is from RNAcentral.